GUUCAUCGACAGUCACCUAGGGAAAGGGUCGACUACUAAAGAGACUCAGGAUGCGACUUUUUUGCAUCUAAGCUUGCACAUAGGCAUAUACUAACCAAAGGUGACAACAGGGUGCUUCCCAAUCUCCCAUAGUCUUAUUCCUGAAACACGCAACAAAAAGUUCAGGAUAAUGAAAAGAUUAUCAACCUCAGACCGAACAUCCAAAUUGCGAAGGCUUACCCUUUGUCCUGAUAUACAGGGGUUUGAAUCCCUCAGAAAAUUUUGCCACAGAUGGGCAUGUCAUCGAAGCUCCAAAGGUCCAUGUUGCCAACGACAUCCUGAGGCACAUCAAAAUUCAGAAGGCUAUCAAUCGGCUCAUCCACGCCAUCAUCCAAAAGAAACCUCAUCCAAGGUUCAAAAUCAACAGCAUUGUUCUCCAUAACAGGAGGCACCACUGAGUUGUAGGUGUUGCUCUGGACAGGCGCAGAUUCAGCUCCUUCAGCAAUCACCGCUGGGUUGUAGGUUUUACUCUGGAGAACUGCAGACUCUGUUCCUUCAGCAAUGGUGGAAAUGGGAGCAAUGGAUGAUAUAUCUGGAGUCUUGGUGUCAUACUCCCAGCCCAAGUCAGAGCAGCCAAAGGAGUUGCUUCCCUGGUCAGAGUACAUAUUCAUAACAGGAGCUUCAACAGAGGCAGCAGAGUUAAUUGCAGGAACAAAUGGCAUGUUGUCAGGCUGAACAAGCGG
RNAcentral lists this long non-coding RNA (722 nucleotides) under Triticum aestivum (bread wheat). Its description in RNAcentral is "long non-coding RNA (TAES_LNC010800)". The record is from RNAcentral. Lineage: Eukaryota; Viridiplantae; Streptophyta; Magnoliopsida; Poales; Poaceae.